UACAGAGGGGGCAAGCGUUGUUCGGAAUUACUGGGCGUAAAGGGUCUGUAGGUGGCCAACUAAGUCAAACGUGAAAUCCCUCAGCUUAACUGGGGAACUGCGUCUGAUACUGGAUGGCUCGAGUGUGGGAGAGGAAUGCGGAAUUCCAGGUGUAGCGGUGAAAUGCGUAGAUAUCUGGAGGAACACCGGUGGCGAAGGCGGCAUUCUGGACCACAACUGACACUGAAAGACGAAAGCCAGGGGAGCAAACGGG
This 253-nucleotide ribosomal RNA is filed under the name uncultured bacterium. RNAcentral's name for it is "partial 16S ribosomal RNA". It matches the Rfam family "Bacterial small subunit ribosomal RNA", at positions 524 to 776 of the family's 1533-position model. The record is from RNAcentral.